GUCUAUGGCCAUGCUACCCUGACCAAGCCCAAUCCUUUCUGACCUCGGAAGCUAAGCAGGGUCGGGCCUGGUUAGUACUUGGAUGGGAGACCACCUAGGAAGACCAGGUGCUGUCGGUG
RNAcentral lists this ribosomal RNA (119 nucleotides) under Pteropus alecto (black flying fox). RNAcentral also lists the same sequence under 1 other name. Lineage: Eukaryota; Metazoa; Chordata; Mammalia; Chiroptera; Pteropodidae. The record is from RNAcentral.